ACAAACAACAUACAAAAACUCACUCUGUCACUCAGGCUGGAGUGCAAUGGCACGAUCUCGGCUCACUGCAACCUCUGCCUCCCGAGUUCAGGAGGGCUCUGAGAGAUUUCAUUUCUGUCCUGCUGAUGAAGUCUACGUUCAUUCAGGGCCUGCUGUGGAAGACCAGCCCCAAAGUUGCUGAACAGAAGACUUUUGAGAGUCAGCAGAAAUCUUCCACUUUGCAUGGUUCUCUUGAUGUGAAAUCAUCUAUAUAGCCCCAGAAUUGGAAAA
RNAcentral lists this long non-coding RNA (270 nucleotides) under Homo sapiens (human). RNAcentral describes it as "CCDC18 antisense RNA 1". The record is from RNAcentral. Lineage: Eukaryota; Metazoa; Chordata; Mammalia; Primates; Hominidae.